RNAcentral lists this long non-coding RNA (1362 nucleotides) under Homo sapiens (human). RNAcentral describes it as "HSALNT0300481". Lineage: Eukaryota; Metazoa; Chordata; Mammalia; Primates; Hominidae. The record is from RNAcentral.
GCAGGGCUUCAGAGCCGCGCAGGCAGGGGCAUGGGUGGGCGUGGCUGCGUCUUAUAGGCUGAGCCACUGGCUGUGCCCCUGAGCUGAGCUGGGUGAGUACUCUAGGCAUUCCUGGCAGAGGAUACAGCAGGAGCAAAGGCCUGGAGGCUAAAAAUAGCUUGCGGGCAGGGGAGCUACCAGCAGUUCAGUGCUUCUGGAGUUUAAAGAGCCCGGCGAGGGUCAUGUCAGAUGACGCCGGUCCACGAGAAGGAGGGUGGAUUAUAUCCUUAGAGACGCCAUAGAGUGAGGAUAUAAUGGCUCUGUAACAAGCAUAAACUGUGAUGGUCUGGGAUGCCCUCGUCAUAGACAGCCCCUGGAGAGUCAUAGAGUCUCACUCUGUCGCCCAGGCUGGAGUGCAUUGGCACGAUCUCAGCUCACUGCAACGUCCGCCUCCCGGGUUCAAGAAGGUCCACAGAAAACAUCCUGGGGUCCUGAGCUGAAGUGUGAUGGGAGGAGUCCUCUGUAUCUCAGUCUGAUCCUGGUCUCCCUCUCGGCCAUGGUCUCACACUAGUGCUGCUGGGAAACCAUCCCUCACAUCCAGUCCUGGCAUCGGGCAGUGACUCUGGUCCAACUGUUGUCCAACUCAAGGGUUUAGCUGCUUAGAUUUUCCUAAAACUUGAAUUUCAUUUUCCUCUAGCCAUGGAAUACAGAUUAAUCCUUUACAAUUAAAAUCCAAGUUCAGAUUUUAUUUGUUGUGGUUUUUAAUUAAAAUCUCACCAGCACUUUGUGGAUUUUUUUUUUCUUAGAAAGGCAAACACACUGUGCGUAUCAGUCAGCCUGGACUGCCAUCACAAAAUACCAUAGACUGUGUGUCUUAAAACAACAGAAAUGUAUUUUCUCACAGUUCUGGAGGCUGGAAGUUCAAGGUCAAUGUUCUGGAUGAUUUGGUUUCCAGUGAGGCCUCUCUUUCUUGCUUGCAGAUGGCUGCCAUUCUUCUGUGUCCUGUAGGGAAGUUCAAACUUUUCCUCUGAAGGUUUGAACAAACUGACAAUAUGCAGACUAAUAGGAGGAAGAAAGGCAUUCAAAGUUGCUAAUGUGCAUAAGCACAAGGCCACAGAAAAUAUGAGAUUCAAAGGAGCACCAGGCGCCUGAGGCUUAAAUACCCUCCUCAUAAGGGAGAGGGAAAUGGGGUUGUAGGCAAUUGCGAGGGGCAGUAAAUGACUUUCAGUAAACGCAUGAGCCCAAAGAACAAUGUCCUGGGACAAAGUUCCCCUCUGCUCUGGAGGACGUGGUGGGAAGGUGAGGGGUGGAACUUCACUGUGCACAAAGGUUGUCUAAUUAUGCAGAUAGAGUCUCCCAGGUGAUGUCUCCAGCUGCCCUCAG